Long non-coding RNA from Drosophila rhopaloa, 510 nucleotides. RefSeq lists it as uncharacterized. The record is from RefSeq and is a predicted model, not a curated record. The transcript has 4 exons. NCBI's taxonomy places the organism in Eukaryota, Metazoa, Arthropoda, Insecta, Diptera, Drosophilidae.
AGCGGCAGAUACACUCACACACACAUCACGCAACCGGAAACUGGUUGCUGGGAGCUGGGAGCUGAUAGUUGGUAGCAACUAGAACACACCAGGGUGUCAUCGUCAGCCAACCGUCAUGGUCCUCCAAACUAAACAUAAACACUGAUAUUCCGAAUACCAUACCACCACACACACGUGAAGAGCAGAGAAGGACGAAGGAAAGUUCCGGCGUCCUCGGAACUUGUUUUCAAACGAACCUGAUUACCAGGUUCUUGUUAAAUGGGUGGAAACGGAGCACGGCUAUUUGCGAGCUUAGAGCCCACCACCGUCCGCCGGGACAUUAAUUAAUCACGGCCUUGUCAUUCGCAAGGAUCAAGGAGUGGCAAAACAAGCAGGCGCAGGCGAGUGGCGAGUGGAGAGCGGCGACGAAGGGCGCGGGAAUCAAAUUAACAGUGCGUCAAAAGGAUUAGGCCAAGAAGGACGACAUCGCGGGGCGUUCGGAGUUAGCAGCACGUAGCACGUAGCACAUAG